UCUUAGGCUUUUCCUUUCUUCUUUUUCAGGUAAAAUAUGAUUCAAUGAUUUGGUGUGUGAUGCCAGAAACUCCUCAGACUAAUUCUAACUAGGAGGCCCUCAAAUUAAAUUUCAGGCAAGAUAAGUAAAUUUAAUAAAUUUUAAAGAAUUAUUUUGGACUAGGGAUAUCAAAAUUCAGCCACACACACACACACACACACACACACACACAUAUAUAUAUACACACAUAUAUAUAUACACAUAUAUAUAUAUGUUACAUAUGCUAUCAAAUCAACUCAAUGGUCUAUUGGUCUAAGGAUUACUUAGGAUUAAAGAUCACCUCUAAUAUAUUAGGUAUGCUUACAUUGGUAACAUACAUAUCCCAGUUAGGAUAGACAAUGCUGAAUUAAUGACAAAAAAAUUCCUCUGCAUCUCAGUGGCUAUUUUUACUCACAUAAGGUCUGCUGCAGUUCUAGAGAGUCUCCAGGAAAGCCUCCUUCCAGUAGGGGGUGACUUAGGAAUCCAAGCAGGUGCCAUCUUGUGAUUCCAUCUUCACAACAUGGCCUUUUUAUUUGCUGAAGACAGGCAGAAGAGAAGGAUAAUGUAAGACUUUCUCACUGCCUUAGUAUGAAAUUGAAACAUGUCUCUUCCAUUUCUUUCCACUCACAGUCCAUUUGCCAGAAUUAAUCAUAUGGUCCUGCCUAACUGCAAGAAGGGCAGGUACACAGGAAGAAGAAAGGAACCAGAUUUGAUCCCAUGUGUUUUGGAUGAAGUUACUUCUAGGAAGGGGGCAUGAUCGAAUCUUCUGCUUUCCUUUUGAGCAUUUUCUCUGUGAGCCAAACUGACUGUUAUCCCUGCCACCAGGUAUAUUAAUGCUGUAAGGAAUUGUGCAGGAGGUCAAAAACCUGGGGGAUGCCUUACUUGGCCUGAUGUCAAGGUAGGUGACAAAUCCUAUUAAAUCAGAACCUUUUCCCUUCCUGGUAAAUGAGCCUCAU
Molecule: long non-coding RNA, 974 nt
Filed under: Pan troglodytes (chimpanzee)
Lineage: Eukaryota; Metazoa; Chordata; Mammalia; Primates; Hominidae
Description: lncRNA (ENSPTRG00000053952.1)
Source: RNAcentral